AACGAACGCUGGCGGCAGGCCUAACACAUGCAAGUCGAACGCCGUAGCAAUACGGAGUGGCAGACGGGUGAGUAACACGUGGGAACAUACCCUUCGGUUCGGAAUAACUCAGGGAAACUUGAGCUAAUACCGGAUACGUCCGCGAGGAGAAAGAUUCAUCGCCGGAGGAUUGGCCCGCGUCUGAUUAGCUUGUUGGUGGAGGUAACGGCUCACCGAAGGCGACGAUCAGUAGCNGGUCUGAGAGGAUGAUCAGCCAC
Molecule: ribosomal RNA, 257 nt
Filed under: uncultured bacterium
Lineage: Bacteria
Description: partial 16S ribosomal RNA
Rfam family: Bacterial small subunit ribosomal RNA
Source: RNAcentral